GAUGAACGCUGGCGGCGUGCCUAAUACAUGCAAGUCGAGCGAACGGAUGAGAAGCUUGCUUCUCUGAUGUUAGCGGCGGACGGGUGAGUAACACGUGGAUAACCUACCUAUAAGACUGGGAUAACUUCGGGAAACCGGAGCUAAUACCGGAUAAUAUUUUGAACCGCAUGGUUCAAAAGUGAAAGACGGUCUUGCUGUCACUUAUAGAUGGAUCCGCGCUGCAUUAGCUAGUUGGUAAGGUAACGGCUUAGCAAGGCAACGAUGCAUAGCCGACCUGAGAGGGUGAUCGGCCACACUGGAACUGAGACACGGUCCAGACUCCUACGGGAGGCAGCAGUAGGGAAUCUUCCGCAAUGGGCGAAAGCCUGACGGAGCAACGCCGCGUGAGUGAUGAAGGUCUUCGGAUCGUAAAACUCUGUUAUUAGGGAAGAACAUAUGUGUAAGUAACUGUGCACAUCUUGACGGUACCUAAUCAGAAAGCCACGGCUAACUACGUG
RNAcentral lists this ribosomal RNA (497 nucleotides) under uncultured bacterium. Its description in RNAcentral is "partial 16S ribosomal RNA". It matches the Rfam family "Bacterial small subunit ribosomal RNA", at positions 28 to 507 of the family's 1533-position model. The record is from RNAcentral.